GCAGAGUGCGGGCGGGCGGCGUGGGUAAGAGGAAGGUGGCAAGGGGUGGUUGGAUUCAGUGGGGGUAGAGGGGGUGUAGGCGGUUGGGUAAGCCUUCGGUUAAAGCUGCGGGCCCAACCCGGAAAGCGCAGAGGGUACUGCCAGGCUAGAGGGUGGGAGAGGAGCGCGGAAUUCCCGGUGUAGCGGUGAAAUGCGUAGAGAUCGGGAGGAAGGCCGGUGGCGAAGGCGGCGCUCUGGAACACACCUGACGCUGAGACACGAAAGCGUGGGGAGCAAACAGGAUUAGAUACCCUGGUAGUC
RNAcentral lists this ribosomal RNA (300 nucleotides) under uncultured Belnapia sp. Its description in RNAcentral is "bacterial SSU rRNA". The stretch from base 52 to 300 matches the Rfam family "Bacterial small subunit ribosomal RNA", at positions 547 to 795 of the family's 1533-position model. The record is from RNAcentral. Lineage: Bacteria; Pseudomonadati; Pseudomonadota; Alphaproteobacteria; Acetobacterales; Roseomonadaceae.